RNAcentral lists this ribosomal RNA (818 nucleotides) under Psychrobacter sp. ENNN4_II. Its description in RNAcentral is "bacterial SSU rRNA". It matches the Rfam family "Bacterial small subunit ribosomal RNA", at positions 76 to 890 of the family's 1533-position model. Lineage: Bacteria; Pseudomonadati; Pseudomonadota; Gammaproteobacteria; Moraxellales; Moraxellaceae. The record is from RNAcentral.
CAGCUUGCUGGUAGGCGUCGAGCGGCGGACGGGUGAGUAACACUUAGGAAUCUACCUAGUAGUGGGGGAUAGCUCGGGGAAACUCGAAUUAAUACCGCAUACGACCUACGGGAGAAAGGGGGCAGUUUACUGCUCUCGCUAUUAGAUGAGCCUAAGUCGGAUUAGCUAGAUGGUGGGGUAAAGGCCUACCAUGGCGACGAUCUGUAGCUGGUCUGAGAGGAUGAUCAGCCACACCGGGACUGAGACACGGCCCGGACUCCUACGGGAGGCAGCAGUGGGGAAUAUUGGACAAUGGGGGCAACCCUGAUCCAGCCAUGCCGCGUGUGUGAAGAAGGCCUUUUGGUUGUAAAGCACUUUAAGCAGUGAAGAAGACCAUAUGGUUAAUACCCAUAUGCGAUGACAUUAGCUGCAGAAUAAGCACCGGCUAACUCUGUGCCAGCAGCCGCGGUAAUACAGAGGGUGCAAGCGUUAAUCGGAAUUACUGGGCGUAAAGCGAGCGUAGGUGGCUUGAUAAGUCAGAUGUGAAAUCCCCGGGCUUAACCUGGGAACUGCAUCUGAUACUGUUAAGCUAGAGUAGGUGAGAGGGAAGUAGAAUUCCAGGUGUAGCGGUGAAAUGCGUAGAGAUCUGGAGGAAUACCGAUGGCGAAGGCAGCUUCCUGGCAUCAUACUGACACUGAGGCUCGAAAGCGUGGGUAGCAAACAGGAUUAGAUACCCUGGUAGUCCACGCCGUAAACGAUGUCUACUAGUCGUUGGGUCCCUUGAGGACUUAGUGACGCAGCUAACGCAAUAAGUAGACCGCCUGGGGAGUACGGCCGCA